UGGAGUAGCACUGGUGACCCAUGCCAUAUAGGUGAAGAGAUGAGGUUCUGUAAAUUUAGAUGAUUUCCCAAGAUUAUGAAAUGAGUAACAACUUACUGAUAAAGCUGUGAAGAGUAAAUAAGUUGAAUAUAUGUAAAACUCUAGAGUGUAGGAAAUAUGGUAUAGCGAUAGUUACUUCGCUGGGAUGCUGUGCGACCUUACCUCUGAGAACUGCAUCAACAAGGAAUGGAAAACAUGGUGAGAGGAAGCUUUAAGAGAGAAAGGAAGCCUGAAUAUGAAAGACAAGAGUUCUACGAAGACAAAGCAAACUUCAACACGCCACACCCUGGAGAUUUGAUGUACUGAAGGUUCUGAACUCUGGCAUUCAGUUACCACUGGACCACGGACUGUGUCGCACUGCAGUGAUUCAUCCACUGUCUGCCUUCUCCUCAUUCUGGGCUGCUUCAGGGCAGGAACAAACCCACCCGUUAGCGUAUCUCCAACCUCAUAAAGUCUCUGGACAGUCAUAUGGAAUCAGUCAGUGUGAGUUGAGGAAGUCAAUGAGUACUCGAGAAGGUUAAAUUCAAAAUACCUAACAGGGAAAUAUGGCCCAAAAAUAAAAAUAAUUAUUCCAUGAAAUUCUAUUUCUAGAAACGGCAAUGAGUCUUCACCCUGUGACUUUAUAAGGUAUUGAUUACGAGUUUUCUUGCCAUCAAUGUUUGCCUCAGUUCCCUUUCUAUAAGAACAAAGGAUUUUAUAUGCACCACAUAAGCUCAUGGUGUUUCAUUUCUUCAAAUCCAAACCCAUGGAACCCUGCCCUCAGGCUAGCCACUUGGACAAGUCAGCCAUUAGCUGUGAGCAUAUCUGGCCAUUCCUCUUGACCUCUUUCUUUAGAGCCCAAGAACAGAAGAGGACUUUCUCUCUCCCUGAUCAGGCUUUCCCUUAUUUUACCCCAGGUGACUGACAUAUCUUUCAGGAGAACCCCCAAUGGAUUAAGGUAAUUUUCUAGACAUAUAAAUAAGUGAGGUCAACAAAUAACUUGAAAACUAUAAGAAAAAUUUUCCAAAGGGCCUUCUAUCUUAAUCUUUACUUCAUAUUUUUUACUUAGGCCAUUUGUAAAUAUCUAUUUGCUCUGUGCUUAUUUAUUUCUUGGCCCA
Molecule: long non-coding RNA, 1136 nt
Organism: Felis catus (domestic cat)
Lineage: Eukaryota; Metazoa; Chordata; Mammalia; Carnivora; Felidae
Exons: 3
Source: RefSeq, a predicted model, not a curated record